Molecule: ribosomal RNA, 397 nt
Filed under: uncultured bacterium
Lineage: Bacteria
Description: bacterial SSU rRNA
Rfam family: Bacterial small subunit ribosomal RNA
Source: RNAcentral
UAUUGCACAAUGGGGGAAACCCUCAUGCAGCGACGCCGCGGGAGUGAAGAAGUAUUUCGUCAUGUAAAGCUCUAUCAGCAGGGAAGACAAUGACGGUACGUGAUUAAGAAGACCCGGCUAACUACGUGCCAGCAGCCGCGGUAAUACGUAGGGGGCAAGCGUUAUCCGGAUUUACUGGGUGUAAAGGGAGCGUAGACGGCAGUACAAGUCUGGAGUGAAAUGCCGGGGCUUAACCCCGGAACUGCUUUGGAAACUGUGCAGCUAGAGUGCAGGAGAGGUAAGUGGAAUUCCUAGUGUAGCGGUGAAAUGCGUAGAUAUUAGGAGGAACACCAGUGGCGAAGGCGGCUUACUGGACUGUAACUGACGUUGAGGCUCGAAAGCGUGGGGAGCAAACAGG